Molecule: ribosomal RNA, 465 nt
Filed under: uncultured bacterium
Lineage: Bacteria
Description: partial 16S ribosomal RNA
Rfam family: Bacterial small subunit ribosomal RNA
Source: RNAcentral
GACGAACGCUGGCGGCGUGCUUAACACAUGCAAGUCGAACGGAAAGGCCCUGCUUGCAGGGUACUCGAGUGGCGAACGGGUGAGUAACACGUGGGUGAUCUGCCCUGCACUUCGGGAUAAGCCUGGGAAGCUGGGUCUAAUACCGGAUAGGAGCCAUUUUUAGUGUGAUGGUUGGAAAGUUUUUUCGGUGUAGGAUGAGCUCGCGGCCUAUCAGCUUGUUGGUGGGGUAAUGGCCUACCAAGGCGGCGACGGGUAGCCGGCCUGGGAGGGUGGACGGCCACAUUGGGACUGAGAUACGGCCCAGACUCCUACGGGAGGCAGCAGUGGGGAAUAUUGCACAAUGAGCGCAAGCCUGAUGCAGCGACGCCGCGUGGGGGAUGACGGCCUUCGGGUUGUAAACUCCUUUCGCUAGGGACGAAGCUUUUUGUGACGGUACCUAGAUAAGAAGCACCGGCUAACUACGUG